Molecule: ribosomal RNA, 372 nt
Filed under: uncultured bacterium
Lineage: Bacteria
Description: bacterial SSU rRNA
Rfam family: Bacterial small subunit ribosomal RNA
Source: RNAcentral
GACGAACGCUGGCGGCGUGCUUAACACAUGCAAGUCGAGCGGUAAGGCCCUUUCGGGGGUACGACGAGCGGCGAACGGGUGAGUAACACGUGGGUGACCUGCCCUCCAGCUCUGGGAUAAGCCCGGGAAACUGGGUCUAAUACCGGAUAUGACUCCACGGUGCAUGUCGUGGGGUGGAAAGCCUUGUGCGGCUGAGGAUGGGCCCGCGGCCUAUCAGCUUGUUGGUGGGGUGAUGGCCUACCAAGGCGACGACGGGUAGCCGGCCUGAGAGGGCGACCGGCCACACUGGGACUGAGACACGGCCCAGACUCCUACGGGAGGCAGCAGUGGGGAAUCUUGCGCAAUGGGCGAAAGCCUGACGCAGCGACGCCG